Molecule: unclassified non-coding RNA, 5837 nt
Filed under: Harpegnathos saltator (Jerdon's jumping ant)
Lineage: Eukaryota; Metazoa; Arthropoda; Insecta; Hymenoptera; Formicidae
Description: uncharacterized LOC105180633, transcript variant X1
Source: RNAcentral
AGCUUUGCGUUUUGGCCGCAUGAAGUCACUAAAAUCAAUUUGGGGUUCACUAGUCACUCCUGUAAACCUUUAAUUAACCUGCAUGUCAUUUUCUGUGAGUGUUCUUCGUUAAUAUAAACAAAAUGGUUUAGAACUGUAUGAAACGCUACGAAAAUCGCACCCUUUGUUUGUCCGUUAAAUUACUAAUUUUCAUCGCCUAUUAUCAUGUGGAAGUGUCACAAAUGCGGGAAACCCGUUUAUUUCGCUGAACGUAAACAGUCAUUGGGAUAUGAUUGGCAUCCGGAAUGUUUGCGAUGUGAAGAAUGUGGAAAACGAUUGAAUCCUGGCCAACAUGCAGAGCACAAAGGUGUACCCUAUUGUCAUGUUCCUUGUUAUGGAGCAUUAUUUGGACCUCAACUAUUUGGUCAUGGAACAAGAGUAGAAUCACAUACUAGCUUUGGAAAAAAAGAAAGUCGACCAUCAUUACCAAGAUCACAUUUGGAAUCAAAGUUGAAAGUUUUCAACCAGUAUUAUGAAGGUAAAAGUGGGGGAAUUCGAAGCCGUGAGGUUAAUGGAAGAUUGGUAUUAGAAGGUGCAUUAAGAAUUUAUUGGGGAGUUCGUGGAGUGAUUCAUCUGAAGGAAGAUGACGAUCAACGUACAGUAGUUACAGCACGGAACAGAAAUUCAUGUAGGCACAGUGUUUCUGAGGAUAUUGAAGAUGAGGAUAAAAUAGACGAACUGUCUAAGAAUCCAUCAGACAGUAAUAUGGAGAAUAAUGCAAAGUCCGUCCCGAUGUCUCCUGAUCAUUUGAAAAGUCUCACUCUGCCUAUGAAACUGGAUGUCAAGACUAUGGAAUGGGACGAACUGGAUGAGUUGCUACAGGUCGAACGUAAAGUCGAAGAUGGAAACAAAUUGUAUCAAACUAUGCCCGAGAAUCUCCCGUCGAUAAGUUCGCAGUCCAGUAUGGACACACCACCACUCUCAUCUCAGUCGAGCCUCGAUCGAUCUGAUUCUCGCGAAAAUUCAGAUACAAGCAGUCCAAAUCAUCAAUCGGCUAGCCGGGAUAACGACAGUAGUAUGAACAGCACGCCGACACACAGCAUAGGUAGUUCUUCCAGUACAGACACACCUGUCAAUUUAGGAGCUAAUCGAAACGGUACGCUUCGAAGAGUAGAGUACUUUGACAACUUGGAGAAAGGUAGUGCCGUUGGCGGCAGUAGAUCUAUCGACACUGACGACAGUUGGAUCGAAAAGGGUUUGAACCGAUCUCUGUCAGGUCCCGACUGUCUUCAGAGACACAGAACGGACAGCGACACGGAUUCAGUAAACUCCUUGCAAUUUAGGGAAGAUGAUAACAUGACUAUGUCCACGGACAGUGGAUUAGAGCUGGACGGUGUCGUUUUACGCCGUAAACAAGGUUCCACCGCGAUCAGACGACGACCAGGCGGUAAACGUCAGUCUCGCAGUCGACUACGACGCCGUUGUUCGAUCAAUGGUCACUUUUACAAUCGAGAGACCAGUUUUUUCACUCCGCCUCACGGCUCGCAAAUGUCUGUCUGGGUAACGAGCCUAGUAAAUACCCAGGAAGUAAUCAAUCUUAUGUUGGACAAAUACAAAGUUGACGCCAAGUCCGAUAAUUUUGCAUUAUUUGUGGUGCGCGACAAUGGUGAGCAAAGGAGGUUAAGAGACGACGAGUAUCCUUUAGAAGUGAGAGUGAUCUUGGGUCCGCACGAGAACGUUGCUCGACUGUUCCUGGUCGAUAAAUUGUCUACACCUGAGAUCAGCUCGGACGUCGCACAAUUUCUCAAUCUGUCUCUAGCGGAAUGCCACGGCAUAUUGCAGCGCUACCACUACGAGGAAGAACGUCAGAUUGUUCUCUUGAGAGAGAAAUAUAAAGAAAUGCGAAGAAGAAUAAAGCAAAGAAUGGAGGAGCUGAAAGUCCGUUUGUAAGUGGAAUCUCGAGUAAACAUGUGGAUGUUUACGCAAUUAUUUUUAUAUCGAUAGAACGUUCUCAAUGGCGUUCAUUGUAAGAUAUUCAUGCGGCAAAAAUCUACAAAACGCGUACCGAGACAAGGUCCCCACCAUAACUUUCCGAACGAUUGAAAAAUUAACAAGAAGCAGGAACACAUCUUCAAUUCGUUUCGCAACACAGGCGAGACAAAUUGAGGACUCGAACUAUGUUAGUACGAGGUAGUUAUCGAUUAUAUAUUGAUAUUGAAAUUAUAUAACGACGGAGAAUUAUUCGGUACUUUGAAUGUUGUUCAUAAUCGAUCAUACUCACGACGAAUAGGACGUUGUGUUUCAUUGUAAUUUUUCAGCAUUCCGAUAUCUUGACGAAGUGAUAAAAGUAAGCAAUGAGAAGGUAUUUUUCUAUCGGCUUUUUAGAGGGGAUCCUUUUAUCGAACAAGAGGUCACUUUAAUCGAAUAGAGAUCGAUAAUAAUAAUAAUAACUGUUACGAAUUUGAAGUCUUCUAUCCUUUGCAUGUCAACGUGGCCCAGAUAAGUGGACACAGCCUGUGCACAAUUGUUGUCAGAUAUUCUGAUACCGCAGUCCGAGACUAUUGUUGGGCGAAACAAAUUGCAGGGCAAAACAAAAUGCCGCCGAUGCAGCAGCAAUUAAUCGCCGGAACACCGCACGCGUCGCGUCAAUGGAAUCGCCGUUUCAAGCUAGUCAUGUUUCACGCUUAGUCACUGAUAUCGAUUGUCCAUCGCAUUUUCAACUAGAGGCCAAACGAAGCGACGUACACUGAGCCACGUUUACGUACAUUACGAGAUAUAUGUAUAUGUAUAUGUAUACGCUUUCGAUCUGCCAGUUUAGAACAAUAAAUACGCGACACGUCACGGUGUAAUAAAGAUAUAUUGAUAUAACGCAGGUAUUUAGAAUACAUGUGCAUGCUUGGGCUUUCACCGUGUAUAUUAUACAGUGUUAUUAUACAGGGUGUCCCACGCAAGACGGCGCGUAAUCAUUCGAGCGCAAGUAAAACUGGUUAGACUGAAAAAGUCCUGUUCCACUUUUAAAACAAUUACAUAAAAUAUCGAAUUAUUAUUGAAAGAAGAUUGACGAGCCAGCAUGCGCGACGCAUGUGGGACGGUGAAGUCGCAUAGAAAGUGAUUGAUUAUUUCUUAGCAGCGAUCAGUAUUGGAUGCUACGACCAACCAUUGUUUACGCGUCGUCGCGGAAGUUUUUAUACACCUUGCAUACAUAUACACACAUAUAGGCUGUACGAAAAGUUUCGGGACGGCGAAAUAUCUCGGACAAUGUAAAUUUUAUAUAUAAAAAAAAAAUUCAAGUAAAAGUUGUAGAGUUUGAGAAGAUCUAUUUACCUCAAUUAAAGUUUGACCCAGAGCGGCGUUGCCAAAGUCAAGAUCACCUUGAAUGUUCUAAAAUAAGGAAUCCUCUAUUUUACAUAUUCUUAUAACCCUUUUAUAUUAUCACUCGUAUUAUACUAUAUGGUGCUUUGAUGAGGGUGCGUAUCAGUUACUUGAAAUAUUGGUAUUUACUGGGUGCGGACCAAUUGUUUAGAUACAAGAAUGAUCUCAAAUUAGUUAAUCGCCAUCAGCAUUAGCAUUGCCCGAUGUACCUCGCGAGGAAGCUGCUUGAUUCGACUUUGCACAUCACGUAAUCAGCUCUUAGAAGGGCUGUUCGUACGGGAUAUGUAGGAUGAGAGUCAGACUGAGACUGAAUAGUGCACAAGCGAAUAGUGGGGGGCAAGCUGAUUAUCACCCUCUCCUCAUACUUCCAUCAUAUCCUACUCCUACUUUACCCCAUACUCCACACACAUUACCUAUCAUCCUCUUCUCCAUACACUAUAAUACGAUAAUAGAGAAAUCUCUGCUUAUUUAAUUUGGGUGAAGCUAUAUCUCAUUAUAAAAAAGCUCGACAACUUUGAGACAGCUGCUCCAAAAAGGAUAAAAUUAUAAUACUUUGGAAAGGUCCCAAAAGAAGAAUGUACAAUAAAAAAAAUAGGGUGUUCCACUUAAGAAAGCUCAAAGCAAUCUUGACUUGAAUUUAGCGACGCUGUUCAAGGUUAAACUGAUAAGGCCAAUAAAUUUAAACCCUACGACUUUUGUUCGAGACAUUUUUCUAUAGAACUUCUUUUUUCGAGACAUUUUGUCGUCCCAGAAUUUUUUAUACGUCCUAUACAUACACAUAUAGGGUAUCUUAUAAAAAUAGGGAGUUCUACUUAAAAAAGUUUAAAGCAAUCUCGACCUGAAUUUAGCGACGCCAUUCGAGAUCAAACUGAUAAGGCCAAUAAAUAUAAACCCUACGACUUUUGUUCGAGACAUUUUUUUAUAGAACUUUUUUUCGAGACAUUUUGCAGUCCUGGAAUUUUUUAUAUGUCCCGUAUAUACAUAUAUAAAGUAUCCUAAGAUUGACGCCCACUGCGAGAAUACUGUGCAAUUUUCCGUACCAGAGAAUGUAAUUAUCUCCUUUGGUAAAAUUUCUUUCGAACGAUAAUUUUUAAGUAAAAGUACUUGUUUCGUAAAGUUCAUGCAUCCUAUAUUAUGUGUGGAUCAAGAAUAAUAUAUCUUUUGCAGUCGCCGACAUGACGACUUAUAUUGGAUAUGUAAUCUUGUAUUUUGCUAAAAACUUUACAAAAAUUUUCCAAGGAUUUUACAAAAGAUUAUACAACUAUUCAAGACAAUAUGGAUACAUGCGAUCGUGUUGCAAAACACGAUGAAUUAUGGAAUAGCAUAUAAUUCACAUGUGCUGUGGAUAAACUGACGAAAUGAUACAAUUGAUUCUCAGCUUUCUGACUCUGUCAUUGAAAUUUCUUAAACUUCUUUUGCCACAACCAUCCACGUUUUGUCCAUGUGCAGUAUAUUUCCGGCAAAUGCUUCCGUUGCCUUUUCUCCGUAUAGCCGAGUCUUUAAAUAUUAAAUAAUGUUUCUCUUAAAAUGAUGGUAAUAUUCAGAUAUUACGCACGUGUGGGUUCGUGAUAAAUUUUUUGCAAAAUGCGAGAAAAAUGGUUUGUCUCGCACGAUGACUUGCGAUUCCGUUAUUUGCGAGCGCAUACUGCCCUUGAUUCACGCGCAACUUACAACUCUGAAAUUCGUGGAAUUUUAAAUUGCUCAUUUAAAACUAUUGUUCGCAUGUAACUUUGCCGUAGGAAAAAGUUGCGUUUUCUGAUACAGAAAAUCGCACACGAGGUGCACUCCGUGAGUGCGAAUUUCAGGAUACCCUCUGCGUGUGCGUGUGCGUGUGCGUGUAUAUGUGAGUACGCGCGUGCGCAUGUGCAAACAAAAAGCGAAACAAACAAUACAAGAAAAACAAACGAAAAAGAGGAAAGAUAUAUAUUAAAGGAUAUAAUAAUCGUUAGAUCAUAGGCAGCUUUUGCUCUAACAGUAAGGAAAAUGUAAUCGUGUAAUCAUAUAUUAAUUAACAGAACAAAUCACGUUCAUUGGGACGUGUAACGUGGGUUAGAGUAAACUUUCCAAUUCGCCCUGAUUAACCUUUUUCUAUUGCUGAUAUACAUGAAUAAAUAAAAGAAAUAUUAACGAAUAUAAUAGAUAGGGUAGGUAGGGAAAUAGAUACGCGAGCGUACAUAUUUUUCCGUGCGCCGAUUAUGGCUCAGUUUCACUUGGCGAUCGCGUCAUUCUAUUCUUGUUUUUCAAUGGACAUUAGAAACAGAAUGACGUUCACCUACGCCGACGCGAUUGCCAAGUAGAAUUUAGCCUCUGACAGAUGUAACAGAUGAAAAUACUCCGUAACCAUGACAUUAUUGAGGGCACGUUUUAGGUGAAAGAGAUACGAAAUCGAGAUUAAAUGUUCGAGUAUUAAGCAUAUUGUAAAAGAAAGAAACUGAUCGAACCGAGAAGGAAUUAUGUAGUACCGUUGAAACAAAAAAUUAAUGAAA